UACAGAGGGUGCGAGCGUUGUUCGGAAUUAUUGGGCGUAAAGGGCGCGUAGGCGGUGCCACAAGUCACCUGUGAAAUCUCCUGGCUCAACUGGGAGCUUGCAGGCGAAACUGUGGUGCUGGAGUGUGGGAGAGGUGCGUGGAAUUCCCGGUGUAGCGGUGAAAUGCGUAGAUAUCCACAGGAACUCCGGUGGCGAAGGCGGCACGCUGGACCCCAUCUGACGCUGAGGCGCGAAAGCCAGGGGAGCGAACGGG
This 253-nucleotide ribosomal RNA is filed under the name uncultured bacterium. RNAcentral describes it as "partial 16S ribosomal RNA". It matches the Rfam family "Bacterial small subunit ribosomal RNA", at positions 524 to 776 of the family's 1533-position model. The record is from RNAcentral.